Molecule: small RNA, 1713 nt
Filed under: Drosophila mojavensis
Lineage: Eukaryota; Metazoa; Arthropoda; Insecta; Diptera; Drosophilidae
Description: GI26627
Source: RNAcentral
UUGAGGCUUCAGCUAUUUAUAGCUCCCACACACUCACACACAUACGCGCAGCUAGCGACGAUCUUGAUCUUAGGCAGCGGCACAUGCCACAAGCAGCGAUUCCGCUCUAUAACAAUGGCCCACAGUGAACAAUGGCUAAAACGAAUAAAAAACAACAACAACAACAAAAAGCCAAAACAAAAGCGAAUUUUCAGUGGCACAGAGGCGGCCACUUACAAGAACUUUAACACGCCAGAGUUCAAAUUAGUCAGCAGACACUCCAUAAAUCAGACAACGGAAAACAAUCAUAAAGAGCCGCUGCUGCUGCUCUCUGGACCUGAGUGGACCAAUAGCCAGACAGUCAACCAGGCAGGCAGCCAGGCAGCCAGGCAGCCAGCCAGGCAGCUGGCUUCAGCAACUGGACAAGCGGGUUGCGUUUGGCCGCCCGCUGCUUGAGAGUGCUCUGGGUGGAGGCAUUAGCAUACAAUUUGUGUGGCAACUUGUUGUUGUCGUGCCAUUGUCAGCAAUAAAUAAUAAAAUUGCAUUGCAAUGCACUUUGCCAGGCGGAUAAAUUGCCAGCCACUAAAUCGCCAAAGCAAUGAAUCAGACUAACUUCGGCUGUGGAUAGGAUCGAUGGGAAGAAAAGCAAAUAUAAGAAUGAGAUGAAGACUCUUUGAGCGUUUUUCCCAUUUACUUUGCAAUGAUGAUUGCCAAGCGGAUUUACUUUGCGAUCAACUGUGAUGUUUGCCAGGCAGAUAAAUGCUUAAGAAGCUGCAGCAAACAUAAAGAAGAAGGGUAGAAUGGCAGAAUGGUUGUUCCUCUAUUACUUGACCUCGCAUUAUAAUUAUUUACCACUUCAGAGUCGACUAUAUUCCAGAAUCACUUUGCAAGGCACUUUGCCAGGCGGAUAAAAGGCGGCUAUGGCUAUUUCCAAUGCAUACGCGAGUCUUGUAAGCCAUGUUUAUAGGGUGGCAUGGACAUAAGAAAUAAUACGAAAUAAAUAAAAAAUAGUUGCCAUGCUUUGGCGACUGUUUGCUGCUGUUGCUCAGUGUCGUACAAAUUGCACCGUUAAUAAAGUCAAAAUCGGAUUGGACACGCCUCGGCCGACGCCUGGCCCCAACUGGAGUCCAAGUGGAGCUCAGCUGCGCGCCCAUUGCGAAGCAGUUGGUCCAUUCCGCGCACAGAUGCAGUUGGAUAUUUGAUCUGUUGACCAAAAAACAAAAACAAAAAAAAAAAAAACCAAAAAAAAAAUGCCAAACAAUAAAUUGGCACUAAUGAAUUUGAUUCAUUUCGAUUUGCCUUCGGCCAUAACUAAAUCAACAUUUCGGAUCUCUAUCUCUAGCUCCAGCUCUAUCUGUAUCUCAGGCUGCAUAUGUAUCUGUAUCUCAGCUGACAGUUGUCAUAAGGCACAAGUGACCCAUAUGUGUCAGACGGUAGGCAAAGGCGUGCCAGUUACUGGAGGAUAGAAAACCACGUAAGAACAUUACCAAAGAGCUUAUCCGACUACACAGCACCCGCUCACGUCCAUUGGUAGAGCAGAUCAAGAGAACUUGCUAAUGCCAGCCCCAAAGCAGUCUCACAUACCAGCGAAGCCAAUAUGCUCUUCUCAUUGGAGCGUGAGCGAGUAUUAAAAACAUAACUAUGUGCAUAUCUUGAUAAAUUGUACAAAACUGCGAAUUGUAGCUACAAGCUCGUUCGCUAGAUCUAUCAAAUUGAACAAGUCAACAAUUUGGA